UAGCUAGUUGGUGAGGUAAAGGCUUACCAAGGCGACGAUCUGUAGCGGGUCUGAGAGGAUGAUCCGCCACACUGGAACUGAGACACGGUCCAGACUCCUACGGGAGGCAGCAGUGGGGAAUUUUGGACAAUGGGGGCAACCCUGAUCCAGCCAUGCCGCGUGAGUGAAGAAGGCCUUCGGGUUGUAAAGCUCUUUCGGCCGGGAAGAAAUCGCAUGGGCCAAUACCCUGUGUGGAUGACGGUACCGGAAUAAGAAGCACCGGCUAACUACGUGCCAGCAGCCGCGGUAAUACGUAGGGUGCGAGCGUUAAUCGGAAUUACUGGGCGUAAAGUGUGCGCAGGCGGUUUUGUAAGACAGGCGUGAAAUCCCCGGGCUUAACCUGGGAACUGCGUUUGUGACUGCAAGGCUAGAGUACGGCAGAGGGGGGUGGAAUUCCACGUGUAGCAGUGAAAUGCGUAGAGAUGUGGAGGAACACCAAUGGCGAAGGCAGCCCCCUGGGUCGAUACUGACGCUCAUGCACGAAAGCGUGGGUAGCAAACAGGAUUAGAUACCCUGGUAGUCCACGCCCUAAACUAUGUCAACUAGGUGUUGGGUGGGUAAAACCAUUUAGUACCGUAGCUAACGCGUGAAGUUGACCGCCUGGGGAGUACGCCCGCAAGGUUAAAACUCAAAGGAAUUGACGGGGACCCGCACAAGCGGUGGAUGAUGUGGAUUAAUUCGAUGCAACGCGAAAAACCUUACCUACCCUUGACAUGCCAGGAACUUGCCAGAGAUGGCUUGGUGCCCGAAAGGGAGCCUGGACACAGGUGCUGCAUGGCUGUCGUCAGCUCGUGUCGUGAGAUGUUGGGUUAAGUCCCGCAACGAGCGCAACCCUUGUCGUUAAUUGCCAUCAUUUAGUUGGGCACUUUAACGAGACUGCCGGUGACAAACCGGAGGAAGGUGGGGAUGACGUCAAGUCCUCAUGGCCCUUAUGGGUAGGGCUUCACACGUCAUACAAUGGUCGGUACAAAGGGUUGCCAAGCCGCGAGGCGGAGCCAAUCCCAGAAAGCCGAUCGUAGUCCGGAUUGCAGGCUGCAACUCGCCUGCAUGAAGUCGGAAUCGCUAGAAAUCGUGGAUCAGCAUGUCUCGGUGAAUACGUUCCCGGGUCUUGUACACACCGCCCGUCACACCAUGGGAGCGGGUUCCGCCAGAAGUAGGUAGCCUAACCGCAAGGGGGGCGCUUACCACGGCGGGGUUCGUGACUGGGGUGAAGUCGUAACAAGGUAGCCGUAGGGGAACCUGCGGCUG
Molecule: ribosomal RNA, 1287 nt
Filed under: metagenome
Description: bacterial SSU rRNA
Rfam family: Bacterial small subunit ribosomal RNA
Source: RNAcentral